This is a non-coding RNA of Hyla sarda, 1394 nucleotides long. The record is from the annotation of a RefSeq genome assembly. Lineage: Eukaryota; Metazoa; Chordata; Amphibia; Anura; Hylidae.
CAGCUGUCACCGGCCAGAUAUGGAGCUGGCUCUGCCUCUGAGCCAACUAGCUACACCCUUCACCCUGUCGUACCAGUAUGUCCUUUUUCGUGAGGGGUUAAAGUACAGAUUUCUUUUUUCAUACGCAUUAGACAAUGAGCAGUAGAAAUUGUAACAUUUCCUUUUGUAAUAUUGGCAUUUGUGUACAUAGUCCUUGUUAUCAUACUUCAUGAAUUCAAUAGAAGAGCUUCAGCGCCAUCUUGCAGCAAACUAAAGCUUUGGUGCUCCGCCUCUUACAACUGCCCGCAGUCAUAUACAGAGAGAGCCUGCAAUCAGAGACAGGGUGCAGCUGCAGCAGAAUCCCAACAAUUCAUAAGAUUUAUUAAACUUGGGAGGAGUUACACAAAACCAUGGACAUAACCAGUCACAACAGAGAUGUAUAUCUUUUAGUAUUUGCAUAAUGGGUAUACAUCUGUUUAUAAAUGGUCACAUCUCAGUGAAUAGACUUAGCUCAACUGUGUAGCUGUUUCCUGUGUCCUGGUGCAUCAUGAUGAAGCUGCAGACUUUUUGCUUGCUACUGCUCUCAAUAGUCGAGUCCCAGGCACAGCACUCGGUGACACAGGAGCCAUCAAUAACAACUUCUCCUGGACAAAAUGUCAAGAUUUCAUGUACUUUGGGAGGAGGUCUAACUGUGGCCUCAAACAGGGUGGUGUUUAUCCAACAAAAAGAAAACAAUGUCCCCAGAUUCAUUCUAUAUUAUUUCACUGAGUCCAAAAAAGGCAAGGGGAAAGAUGUCCCAGAGCGUUUUGUGGGGUCUGCCAGUGGUAAUAUAGGUUAUUUGAAUAUAAAUGGGGUUCAGCAGGAGGAUGAUGCUGUCUACCACUGUUAUACAUGGACUGGUAGCCAGUUUCAAUUUGGAGACGGAACUCAACUCAACGUUCUAUCCGGUGACGGGAUCGCUCCCACUGUGUCUAUCUUGGCUCCACCUAAGGAAGACAUAACAGAUCAGGUGACUAUAGCCUGCACCCUCAGUGAUUACCGCCCCGCGUCUGCAACUGUGGAAUGGAUGGUGGAUGGGACCAAGCGGACAACUGGAGUACAGAACUCACCGGUCAGCAAACAGGCUGAUAAUCUGUAUAUGGGGAGCAGUCUCCUCAGCCUGUCCUCCCUCGAGUUCAACCAACAUGAUCAAUUCUCCUGUAAAGUGACACAUCAGGGGAAAGAGAUUAUCCAGACCCUGAAAAGAUCAGAAUGUUUCUAAUGGUCUAUACCCUGUUUACUACCCCAGUGAUUUUAUUUGGCUUUGUUACCAAUUUUUAUGCAUUUUGUCAUUUGUGGAGUUUUUGCUUCUUUUUUUUUUGAUGUUGCAAUCUUUAAUUGAAAUGCCUUUUAUCUAAUUUAGAGUUCUCCUUGAC